This 500-nucleotide ribosomal RNA is filed under the name uncultured bacterium. RNAcentral describes it as "bacterial SSU rRNA". It matches the Rfam family "Bacterial small subunit ribosomal RNA", at positions 8 to 521 of the family's 1533-position model. The record is from RNAcentral.
AGAGUUUGAUCCUGGCUCAGGACGAACGCUGGCGGCGUGCUUAACACAUGCAAGUCGAGCGGUAAGGCCUUUCGGGGUACACGAGCGGCGAACGGGUGAGUAACACGUGGGUGACCUGCCCUCAGCUCUGGGAUAAGCCUGGGAAACUGGGUCUAAUACCGGAUAUGACCUUUCCUCGCAUGGGGUUUGGUGGAAAGUUUUUUCGGCUGGGGAUGGGCCCGCGGCCUAUCAGCUUGUUGGUGGGGUGAUGGCCUACCAAGGCGACGACGGGUAGCCGGCCUGAGAGGGCGACCGGCCACACUGGGACUGAGACACGGCCCAGACUCCUACGGGAGGCAGCAGUGGGGAAUAUUGCGCAAUGGGCGGAAGCCUGACGCAGCGACGCCGCGUGGGGGAUGACGGCCUUCGGGUUGUAAACCUCUUUCGACCUUGACGAAGCCUUUCGGGGUGACGGUAGGGGUAGAAGAAGCACCGGCCAACUACGUGCCAGCCGCCGCGGU